RNAcentral lists this long non-coding RNA (446 nucleotides) under Vigna radiata. RNAcentral describes it as "long non-coding RNA (VRAD_LNC007412)". Lineage: Eukaryota; Viridiplantae; Streptophyta; Magnoliopsida; Fabales; Fabaceae. The record is from RNAcentral.
UUUUUUGCAGAUUUUCAAUUUAUGCGACUUCGAACUAGCGGUACAGAAACAACUCACAAAACUCUUCAAUCUCCAAAAAAAUUAGAUCAUCGUUCAUUUAACAGGAGAUGCUUCCUGAACGAAUCAAAAACCAAAUUUUACCUUUUGAGGGGUAUCGAAACUAACGUGCUUGGAAACCUUGAGAGCGACGAUGACGGGAUGGGCGACAGCGAGAUGGGAGCGACAGGAAGGAAAAGGGCAAUAGACCUUAGCAAAAUCUAGGUGAGGUGUAGUGAUAAAGAGAGAGAUUCUGAUAGAGAAAGGAUGAAGAACAUGGUGUUAACUAGUUAACUGUACUAAAAUUAUUAAGUUUCAGUGUUUUAAACCUGAACUAUAAAAUAAUUUAAUUAGUUUUUAGUAAAAACAGUUUAGUCUUUUUAAGUUUAAAACAAUCUCAUUAACUGGAA